GAAGUAUGGAGGGUGAGGCCUGCCCAAUGGUUGUAUCUAAAAGCGGUUGAUAAAAGUCGACCGUGUAAGGACAAUUGAAUGGCCGCGGUAACACUGACCGUGAUAAUGUAGCGUAAUCAAUAGCCAAUUAAUUGUUGGCCAGUAUGAAUGGCGCCACGAAGGCCCCACUGUCUUAAGGAAAUUCCCAGUGAAAUUGAAUUCGUAGUGAAGAUGCUACGUCCAAUUUGUUAGACGAAAAGACCCCGUUGAGCUUUACUGGGGCACUUACACGGCCCCGGCCUUCAAAACUGGGUUGAUAAGCCAAGGCUUACCAUACCUAGGGACCGGCCGAAUUUAAAUGGGCGGCUUAGACUAUGUGGCAGCCCCCCCCGUCGGGGCAGAUGAAACCCCACUCCCCCAUGUCAAAGGGGCUAACCCCCCCCCUUGGGGGGGACAGUGUAAGUAGGACAGUUUGGUUGGGGCGACCGCCUUUUAGAGAGUAACGAAGGUGCGCUUAAGGUGCGUAAUUAAUGACUGAAGCCUGACUGCGAGGGGGACACCCCGAGCAGACACCCCCAAGCCCGCCCUCGCCUUCGUACCAACGGAGGGAGGGCGGCGGUGGGGUGGGCCAUAGUGACCCGUUAAUUUAGAGUGGAAUAGUUAACGAUCAACGAAUAAAAGUUACCACGGGGAUAACAGCGUAAUAUCGUUAGAGAGUUC
This 699-nucleotide ribosomal RNA is filed under the name Parazoanthus swiftii. RNAcentral's name for it is "partial large subunit ribosomal RNA". It matches the Rfam family "Bacterial large subunit ribosomal RNA", at positions 1840 to 2501 of the family's 2925-position model. The record is from RNAcentral. Lineage: Eukaryota; Metazoa; Cnidaria; Anthozoa; Zoantharia; Parazoanthidae.